CAGUCGCCGCGGUAAUACGAAGGGUGCAAGCGUUUCUCGGAAUUACUGGGCGUAAAGCGUGCGUAGGUGGUGGUUUAAGUCCGUUGUGAAAGCCCUGGGCUCAACCUGGGAAUUGCAGCGGAUACUGGAUCACUAGAGUGUGGUAGAGGAUAGUGGAAUUUCCGGUGUAGCAGUGAAAUGCGUAGAGAUCGGAAGGAACAUCUGUGGCGAAGGCGACUAUCUGGGCCAACACUGACACUGAGGCACGAAAGCGUGGGGAGCAAACAGGAUUAGAUACCCCGGUAGUCCCUGUCUCUUAUAC
This 301-nucleotide ribosomal RNA is filed under the name uncultured bacterium. Its description in RNAcentral is "partial 16S ribosomal RNA". It matches the Rfam family "Bacterial small subunit ribosomal RNA", at positions 509 to 807 of the family's 1533-position model. The record is from RNAcentral.